RNAcentral lists this ribosomal RNA (263 nucleotides) under uncultured Staphylococcus sp. RNAcentral's name for it is "partial 16S ribosomal RNA". It matches the Rfam family "Bacterial small subunit ribosomal RNA", at positions 99 to 355 of the family's 1533-position model. The record is from RNAcentral. Lineage: Bacteria; Bacillati; Bacillota; Bacilli; Caryophanales; Staphylococcaceae.
CGGACGGGUGAGUAACACGUGGAUAACCUACCUAUAAGACUGGGAUAACUUCGGGAAACCGGAGCUAAUACCGGAUAAUAUAUUGAACCGCAUGGUUCAAUAGUGAAAGACGGUUUUGCUGUCACUUAUAGAUGGAUCCGCGCCGCAUUAGCUAGUUGGUAAGGUAACGGCUUACCAAGGCAACGAUGCGUAGCCGACCUGAGAGGGUGAUCGGCCACACUGGAACUGAGACACGGUCCAGACUCCUACGGGAGGCAGCAGUA